UUGAUCCUGGCUCAGGAUGAACGCUAGCGGCAGGCCUAAUACAUGCAAGUCGAACGGGUGGUAGCAAUACCACUAGUGGCGCACGGGUGCGUAACGCGUAACCAACCUGCCCUUGACUGGGGGAUAGCCCGCCGAAAGGCGGAUUAAUACUGCAUAAACCAACAGGACGGCAUCGUUCAAUUGGUAAAGAUUUAUUGGUCAAGGAUGGGGUUGCGUAGCAUUAGCUAGUUGGCGGGGUAACGGCCCACCAAGGCGACGAUGCUUAGGGGACCUGAGAGGGUGAUCCCCCACACUGGCACUGAGAUACGGGCCAGACUCCUACGGGAGGCAGCAGUAGGGAAUAUUGGGCAAUGGGCGAGAGCCUGACCCAGCCAUGCCGCGUGCCGGAUGAAGGCCUUCUGGGUUGUAAACGGCUUUUCUCA
Molecule: ribosomal RNA, 422 nt
Filed under: uncultured bacterium
Lineage: Bacteria
Description: bacterial SSU rRNA
Rfam family: Bacterial small subunit ribosomal RNA
Source: RNAcentral